GCCUCCGUAGCUCAGUUGGUAGAGCAGUUGACUCUUAAUCAAUUUGUCGUAGGUUCGAAUCCUACCGGGGGCACCA
This 76-nucleotide transfer RNA is filed under the name Prosthecobacter sp. Its description in RNAcentral is "tRNA-Lys". It matches the Rfam family "tRNA". From Rfam's summary of the family: Transfer RNA (tRNA) molecules are approximately 80 nucleotides in length. Their secondary structure includes four short double-helical elements and three loops (D, anti-codon, and T loops). The record is from RNAcentral. Lineage: Bacteria; Pseudomonadati; Verrucomicrobiota; Verrucomicrobiia; Verrucomicrobiales; Verrucomicrobiaceae. RNAcentral also lists the same sequence under 1 other name.